UACGGGGGGGGCAAGCGUUGUUCGGAGUUACUGGGCGUAAAGGGUGCGUAGGCGGUCCUAUAAGUAUGGUGUGAAAUCUCCCGGCUUAACUGGGAGGGUGCGCUAUAGACUGUGGGACUAGAGUGUGGGAGAGGAAAGUGGAAUUCCUGGUGUAGCGGUGAAAUGCGUAGAUAUCAGGAGGAACACCUGUGGCGAAAGCGGCGCACUGGACCACAACUGACGCUGAGGCGCGAAAGCUAGGGGGAGCAAACAGG
Molecule: ribosomal RNA, 254 nt
Filed under: uncultured bacterium
Lineage: Bacteria
Description: partial 16S ribosomal RNA
Rfam family: Bacterial small subunit ribosomal RNA
Source: RNAcentral